This 254-nucleotide ribosomal RNA is filed under the name uncultured bacterium. Its description in RNAcentral is "partial 16S ribosomal RNA". It matches the Rfam family "Bacterial small subunit ribosomal RNA", at positions 524 to 776 of the family's 1533-position model. The record is from RNAcentral.
UACGGAGGGUGCAAGCGUUAUCCGGAUUCACUGGGUUUAAAGGGUGCGUAGGUGGAUUGGUAAGUCAGUGGUGAAAUCUCCAGCUUAACUUGGAAACUGCCAUGGAUACUAUUAGUCUUGAAUGUUGUGGAGGUUAGCGGAAUAUGUCAUGUAGCGGUGAAAUGCUUAGAUAUGACAUAGAACACCAAUUGCGAAGGCAGCUUACUAUAACAGUUAUUGACGCUGAGGCACGAAAAGCGUGGGGAUCAAACAGG